RNAcentral lists this ribosomal RNA (396 nucleotides) under uncultured bacterium. Its description in RNAcentral is "partial 16S ribosomal RNA". It matches the Rfam family "Bacterial small subunit ribosomal RNA", at positions 524 to 918 of the family's 1533-position model. The record is from RNAcentral.
UACGUAGGGGGCAAGCGUUAUCCGGAUUUACUGGGUGUAAAGGGAGCGUAGACGGAAGGCCAAGUCUGAUGUGAAAGCCCGCGGCUCAACUGCGGGACUGCAUUGGAAACUGGUCAUCUGGAGUGCAGGAGGGGUAAGCGGAAUUCCUAGUGUAGCGGUGAAAUGCGUAGAUAUUAGGAGGAACACCGGUGGCGAAGGCGGCUUACUGGACUGAAACUGACGUUGAGGCUCGAAAGCGUGGGGAGCAAACAGGAUUAGAUACCCUGGUAGUCCACGCUGUAAACGAUGAAUACUAGGUGUCGUGUUUCUAUAGAGAUUCGGUGCCGCAGCAAACGCAAUAAGUAUUCCACCUGGGGAGUACGUUCGCAAGAAGGAAACUCAAAUGAAUUGACGGGG